ACUCCUAUGGGAGGCAGCAGUGGGGAAUCUUGGACAAUGGGGGCAACCCUGAUCCAGCCAUGCCGCGUGAGUGAUGAAGGCCUUAGGGUCGUAAAGCUCUUUCGCCUGUGAUGAUAAUGACAGUAGCAGGUAAAGAAACCCCGGCUAACUCCGUGCCAGCAGCCGCGGUAAUACGGAGGGGUUAGCGUUGUUCGGAAUUACUGGGCGUAAAGCGCGCGUAGGCGGAUUAGUAAGUCAGAGGUGAAAUCCCGGGGCUCAACCCCGGAACUGCCUUUGAUACUGCUAGUCUUGAGUUCGAGAGAGGUGAGUGGGAAUUCCGAGUGUAGAGGUGAAAUUCGUAGAUAUUCGGAGGAACACCAGUGGCGAAGGCGGCUCACUGGCUCGAUACUGACGCUGAGGUGCGAAAGUGUGGGGAGCAAACAGGAUUAGAUACCCUGGUAGCGACUGA
This 448-nucleotide ribosomal RNA is filed under the name uncultured bacterium. RNAcentral describes it as "bacterial SSU rRNA". It matches the Rfam family "Bacterial small subunit ribosomal RNA", at positions 335 to 799 of the family's 1533-position model. The record is from RNAcentral.